GGGGCUGUAGCUCAGUGGUAGAGUGCUUGCUUAGGGCACAUGAGGCACUGGGUUCAAUCCCCAGCACCA
RNAcentral lists this transfer RNA (69 nucleotides) under Ictidomys tridecemlineatus (thirteen-lined ground squirrel). Its description in RNAcentral is "Spermophilus tridecemlineatus (thirteen-lined ground squirrel) tRNA". It matches the Rfam family "tRNA". From Rfam's summary of the family: Transfer RNA (tRNA) molecules are approximately 80 nucleotides in length. Their secondary structure includes four short double-helical elements and three loops (D, anti-codon, and T loops). Lineage: Eukaryota; Metazoa; Chordata; Mammalia; Rodentia; Sciuridae. The record is from Rfam by way of RNAcentral.